Molecule: long non-coding RNA, 739 nt
Organism: Megachile rotundata (alfalfa leafcutting bee)
Lineage: Eukaryota; Metazoa; Arthropoda; Insecta; Hymenoptera; Megachilidae
Source: RefSeq, a predicted model, not a curated record
CGGCGCGGCUACAGAGUUGUUGUCGACGCGUUCGUCGUUGGGGCACUGGGCGCUUGGGAUCCGGGGAACGAGUUCGUCCUCGAUCUCCUCCGCAUCUCUCCAAAGUACGCUUCUUUAAUGAGAAAGUUAAUGGUAGCGGAGACCAUUGGAUGGUCCAGAGAUAUUUACGUUGAGCAUGUGUCAGGAAUAAGACAGUACUCGGCACACAAUGAAAGGAAUUCUAACAACACGUGUAACAGAAACGACGAAAAUGAAAAUAACAUUAACUAAAAACCAGACGUUAAAAAGAAUAAAAGAAGUAGACUCUAUUGAUCUUCUCUCGACAAUAAUGAAUGCACAACAAUAUUGUAAUAAAUAUAUAUAUAUCUCUAAGCGCUAUUAACCAGAAGAAUGUGAGGCCCAGCGCAUCCUAAUUCAUGUAUUGUAGGACAUGCCUCAUCUCCUCCUCAUAUGAACGUGGAGAUGCUUUUUUGUAUUUUUAUUUCUAUUGUAAACCGAAGCUGUGGAAGAUCCGGUCCAAGAGGACGAUGGUUUUAUUAAUUAAUGACGCGCCCGAAGAAAAUGCGACAAAUCUGAAGGCAAGCUGUGUUUUGUUAAAUAAGCAUAGAGGAACAUUCCUAAAAUGCGGGUGAUAUUUAUGUGAUAUUGUAUUUUUCAAAUAAUUGUAACUCAAUGUAUCACCCUACAGCUUCGGCUGUGGGGAAACAUUCAGUGAAAAAUAAAGUCCAAUUUAUCUGUU